GAUGAACGCUGGCGGCGUGCCUAAUACAUGCAAGUCGAGCGAACGGACGAGAAGCUUGCUUCUCUGAUGUUAGCGGCGGACGGGUGAGUAACACGUGGAUAACCUACCUAUAAGACUGGGAUAACUUCGGGAAACCGGAGCUAAUACCGGAUGAUAUUUUGAACCGCAUGGUUCAAAAGUGAAAGACGGUCUUGCUGUCACUUAUAGAUGGAUCCGCGCUGCAUUAGCUAGUUGGUAAGGUAACGGCUUACCAAGGCAACGAUGCAUAGCCGACCUGAGAGGGUGAUCGGCCACACUGGAACUGAGACACGGUCCAGACUCCUACGGGAGGCAGCAGUAGGGAAUCUUCCGCAAUGGGCGAAAGCCUAACGGAGCAACGCCGCGUGAGUGAUGAAGGUCUUCGGAUCGUAAAACUCUGUUAUUAGGGAAGAACAGAUGUGUAAGUAACUGUGCACAUCUUGACGGUACCGAAUCAGAAAGCCACGGCUAACUACGU
Molecule: ribosomal RNA, 496 nt
Filed under: uncultured bacterium
Lineage: Bacteria
Description: partial 16S ribosomal RNA
Rfam family: Bacterial small subunit ribosomal RNA
Source: RNAcentral